AGAGUUUGAUCCUGGCUCAGAAUCAACGCUGGCGGCGUGCCUCAGACAUGCAAGUCGAACGCGAAAGGCCCCUUCGGGGGGCCGAGUAGAGUGGCGCACGGGUGAGUAACACGUGGGUAAUUUGCCUUCGGGUGGGGAAUAACAGCCGGAAACGGCUGCUAAUACCGCAUAAUGCAGCGGCAUCUAUGAUGACAGUUGUUAAAGCGGGGGAUUCGCAAGAACCUCGCGCCUGAAGAGAAGCCCGCGGCGGAUUAGCUAGUUGGUAGGGUAAUGGCCUACCAAGGCGACGAUCCGUAGCCGGCCUGAGAGGGCGGUCGGCCACACUGACACUGACAUACGGGUCAGACUCCUACGGGAGGCAGCAGUCGGGAAUUUUGGGCAAUGGGCGCAAGCCUGACCCAGCAACGCCGCGUGAAGGAUGAAGUUUUUCGGAAUGUAAACUUCACAAGAAUGGGAAGAAUAAGUCCUGGCUAACAUCCAGGACGAUGACGGUACCAUUUGUAAGCUCCGGCUAACUCCGUGCCAGCAGCCGCGGUAAUACGGGGGGAGCAAGCGUUGUUCGGAUUUACUGGGCGUAAAGGGCGCGUAGGCGGCGCGACAAGUCACUUGUGAAAUCUCCGGGCUCAACUCGGAACGGCCUAGUGAUACUGUCGUGCUAGAGUGCGGAAGGGGCAACUGGAAUUCUCGGUGUAGCGGUGAAAUGCGUAGAUAUCGAGAGGAACACCUGCGGCGAAGGCGGGUUGCUGGGCCGACACUGACGCUGAGGCGCGAAAGCUAGGGGAGCGAACGGGAUUAGAUACCCCCGUAGUCC
RNAcentral lists this ribosomal RNA (811 nucleotides) under uncultured bacterium. RNAcentral describes it as "bacterial SSU rRNA". It matches the Rfam family "Bacterial small subunit ribosomal RNA", at positions 8 to 796 of the family's 1533-position model. The record is from RNAcentral.